RNAcentral lists this long non-coding RNA (509 nucleotides) under Ananas comosus (pineapple). Its description in RNAcentral is "long non-coding RNA (ACOM_LNC012482)". The record is from RNAcentral. Lineage: Eukaryota; Viridiplantae; Streptophyta; Magnoliopsida; Poales; Bromeliaceae.
UGAUAUCAAUAAUCAUAUUAAAUUUAAAGCAUACGUGAUAUCAAUAAUCAUAUUAAACUAGUGUAGCAACCCGCGUGAUGCGACGGAUAAAUAAUAGAAGAAAAAACAAAAAAUAUUGAAGAGGGAGAAGAAAGGAGUUUGAAAAAUAAAAAUUCAAGUGUGUUUUAUUUUUCGGUAGGAAAAUGUAUGAAUUGAAGUAACCAAUAUGAUCAUUGAAAAUUGAUAACGGCCCAGAAUUACCAUUCAAAUAAAAAACCUACAAACGUCGAAUGAAGAUGGAGAUGAUAAUGUUACGAUGACAUUGACGAUGGCGAUGAAAAUCUCAUAGAAGUUUGCAGGAUUUUGCACCCUUUUGGGUAUGGGAUGGUCAGAAGUUGCGGGCCAAAACUGCUACAUCAAUUAUGAAAUCAAAAUUAACCUCUAAAUUAAUCAAAAUAAUGCACAUAAAUCAAAUUCUUGAUUGAUACAACCACCAUAUCGAAAAUAAUGCAAAUAAAUUAAAUUCUAAA